GGGAUAAAGGCUUAGUUGAGUUGCAUCCAUUUCUCAAUGAUUUUGUUAUUAAUCUCCUUUAAGUUUGUAACUUUCUCCUUAAGAGCAUUUUUUCGCUGAAACAAAUGUGUUAGUAACUCCUCCCGGCUAUUGCAAGGCGGUUCAACUACAGGAAGAAAGAACAAUUAUUCCUCUGGAUCAAUUGUCUAUUAAUAUUAGUUAUCAACAAACUUAUAAAUUACCACUUUCAAUCAAAAUAUUCAAAAUAAAAGCCAUUAUAAUUACCUCUCAAGUACCACAUAUUAACAGUUUAUUGACGAUUGAGUCAAUUUGAGAUAUCAAUCAAACGUAGGGAUUUAAUUGAUAAUUAUGCAAACUUUAGGGUUUAAUUACAAAAUUAGCAAACUUCAUUAUUUUUUUUGGCAAUUAUCCCUAAUAUGGAAUUUUUGAUGUGGUUUCUCUAGUGAUUAUAGGGCAGCUGACGUGGAAUUCAUUUUAAGUAUGCUAACGGUUUAUUGGUGGUCAGGCCAAUUUGAGAUAUCAAUCAAGCGUAAGAGUUUGAUUGACAAUUAUGCAAACUUCAAGGUUUAAUUGCAAAAUUUGAUAAAUUUCAAUACUUUUUUGGCAAUUAACCCUUUUUAAUAUGUAGGAUAGAUUGCUAUCAUUGCUACCUAUAUGCGAGAACAAAAUAUAAAGUGAAUUCAAAUUUGAAUUUCUGUAGUCAAGUGAGUGGGUGCAACAAGUCGGGAAGAGUAUGGGCUAUAUAUCUACAUUAGAUAAAUGCUCGUGCACUACACUAUUUAUUAUUUAUAUAAUUUUUUUAAAAAUAAUUCUGUAAUAUAUCAUGCAUGAAUUUUUGUAAUAAAAUUAAUGUAAAAAAU
This 860-nucleotide unclassified non-coding RNA is filed under the name Hevea brasiliensis (rubber tree). The record is from RNAcentral. Lineage: Eukaryota; Viridiplantae; Streptophyta; Magnoliopsida; Malpighiales; Euphorbiaceae.